GGAUGCGAUCAUACCAGCACUAAUGCACCAGAUUCCAUCAGAACUCUACAGUUAAGCGUGCUUGGGUGAGAGUAGUACUAGGAUGGGUGACCUCCAGGAAAGCUCAUAAGUUAGAGUUU
RNAcentral lists this ribosomal RNA (119 nucleotides) under Arabidopsis thaliana (thale cress). The record is from RNAcentral. Lineage: Eukaryota; Viridiplantae; Streptophyta; Magnoliopsida; Brassicales; Brassicaceae.